GGAAUUUUGGAAAAUAAAAUGCUGAUUAAUACUUUAAUUGCAGCAAUCUUGCGCAGAGGAUUAAACCAGGAGAAUGGACUGUGAUCUACAGCAAGGACAUCAAAGGUCUCCCAAGACAGGAAGAUGGCAAUGCCUGUGGGAUCUUCAUGUUAAUGUAUGCUCUUUACAUUGUGCUGGGGGCAGAUUUUGACUUCACAACUG
Long non-coding RNA from Perca fluviatilis (European perch), 201 nucleotides. RefSeq lists it as uncharacterized. Lineage: Eukaryota; Metazoa; Chordata; Actinopteri; Perciformes; Percidae. The transcript has 3 exons. The record is from RefSeq and is a predicted model, not a curated record.